UUAGAUCCACAUUGGCGACAGGAGCAUUCAACGCAAGGUGUUUCCGGAUCGUCUGAACAUUGUGUACAUUCAACAGCAGUGGGUCCUAGAAUAAAAUGAUAAAAAAACCAAACAAAAAUAAAUAAAAACAGAAAAGAGGAAAACAAUGAAAAUCCUUGUCAAGAGUUCAAGGUUGUAUCGAUAUCGUUUGAUUAAUCCUUUCUGUAAUCAUAUCGGUAUCUUUUUACUCAUUUAUCUCAACUCAUAACAAAACUGUUUUUCUUUAAAUCCUUUUCACACCAAAAGAUAUUCAAUCAAUUUUUUCUCAAGAGUUUAAUUUUUCUUAAAUAAACAUUUGCUGAGUUUGAAAAAAGGCAUUGAAUACAAGUUAAUGGUUUCUCUCCGUCUAAGUCAUUGAGUCUCUGGGUGAGUUCAAAUCGGAAGUAAUAAUUGUACCCAAAGGAGUGAAAAAACGACAAGAGGUGAAUGCUAAAAAAAAUCUCACCAAAAGUUAUUGACUGAUUAUUGUUCAAGUGAUAAGGAGAACCGAAGAGGAAGUCGAAGGUAAAAUAUUCAAUGAGGAUGAUGACGAUGGUUAUAAUAGAGAUGGGAUAAAAGGAUUUCGAGUAAAAAAGUAAGCUGAUAUAUAGUGCCACACGACCUUAGAUGUAAAAGAAAGCCUAAAGGGUUAGAAAGACCCCCACAUACAAAAUGAAAGGAUCAGAUGUACAAAAGUAGAUUCACUUUUUUUUGUAUCCAUUGGCAAUUAAUUUGGCUUGUUUGUUAUUCCGUUCAAUAACUGGUUGAUUAUCUUGAGCAGUAUAGAAAAGCAAGUUUCCUGUUAUAUUAUGUUUAUCCAAUGUCACUUUAUCACCAAUGAAUAAUGUUCCUUGAACAAUUUUA
Molecule: non-coding RNA, 882 nt
Organism: Tetranychus urticae (two-spotted spider mite)
Lineage: Eukaryota; Metazoa; Arthropoda; Arachnida; Trombidiformes; Tetranychidae
Source: RefSeq, a predicted model, not a curated record